ACAGAUUUCGAUCGAUCUGCGCAGCGCUGCAUGAAGUCGAACGCACCUUCAGUUCACUCGUAAAUAGGAUGUGGCCACAUGAUGUCACCACGAUCACUCUUCUUCGAUGGUAUGCAGUUGUAGCUAUAAAAGCGUAGUGCCCCCUCCUAAGAUCCCUCAUUUCGCGAUGCCUACUUCGACGAUGUGUGGAAGAAAUGAGCAUAAGAAAACCGAAAGGUUACAAGAAGGUGGCUGACUGGUUUGUGUUUAUAACCUGAUGAAGACCCUUUGGCUGCUGUAAUGCAAGUUGCACAAGACUCAUCUAGAGUACCUCAAUCUAGUGGUCUAGUGAAUUGAGAGUGGCUUUUUCUAUAGGAAGAGGGUGUUGACUGUACUGUAAGAAGAGGUGAAAUCCCUGUAAAAAUCCUAGCGCAGGAAAAAAGUGUUGAAGAUCAGCCAGAAUGACGAUUCUCAAACGGUUCAAUGUGAAUGUAACAAGCGAAACUUCGACUGUGGUGUCAACUUAUCUGAAUGGAAUAUGAAUGUUCUUGUUUAAUUUUUAGUAAAUGAAUAUAAAGACCUGC
Molecule: non-coding RNA, 563 nt
Organism: Danio rerio (zebrafish)
Lineage: Eukaryota; Metazoa; Chordata; Actinopteri; Cypriniformes; Danionidae
Source: RefSeq, a predicted model, not a curated record